RNAcentral lists this ribosomal RNA (545 nucleotides) under uncultured eukaryote. RNAcentral's name for it is "eukaryotic LSU rRNA". The stretch from base 147 to 299 matches the Rfam family "5.8S ribosomal RNA". The record is from RNAcentral.
UUCCGUAGGUGAACCUGCGGAAGGAUCAUUAACACUAAUCCAAUUCAACUCAACAAAGCCUUUAGUUGUAGGAUGGAAACAUUCUACAGCAACUUACAAAACUAAUAAGUCAAAGAAACUUAACUAAGCAACUAAAACAAAAACCAAAUUCUCAACGGUGGAUGUCUUGGUUCCCACAACGAUGAAGAACGCAGCGAAGUGCGAUAAGCAGUGCGAAUUGCAGAACCGUGAGUCAUCAGAUUUUUGAACGCAACUGGCGCCGUGCGGGGUUACCCGCCGGCACGCCUGGUCCAGUGUCUUGUUUUCUCAUCACCAAAAUCAUAAUGCAAGAGAUACCCUUCUCUUGUCAAGCACGAAAGCACUCUGCGCUCUGCGAGCGGCCUUCGGGUCGCACUCAAUGCAGCAGUCACAUUAUUACUAGUGUGAACUCAUUGAGAGUGGACGCGGCGAAGCAAUAGCUUCAAGUGUUUAGUCACACCAACUUUGGUACGGUAUCUGGGCUCAGGUGGGACCACCCGCUGAACUUAAGCAUAUCAAUAAGCGGA